Molecule: ribosomal RNA, 465 nt
Filed under: uncultured Klebsiella sp.
Lineage: Bacteria; Pseudomonadati; Pseudomonadota; Gammaproteobacteria; Enterobacterales; Enterobacteriaceae
Description: bacterial SSU rRNA
Rfam family: Bacterial small subunit ribosomal RNA
Source: RNAcentral
CCUACGGGUGGCUGCAGUGGGGAAUAUUGCACAAUGGGCGCAAGCCUGAUGCAGCCAUGCCGCGUGUGUGAAGAAGGCCUUCGGGUUGUAAAGCACCUUCAGCGGGGAGGAAGGCGGUGAGGUUAAUAACCUCAUCGAUUGACGUUACCCGCAGAAGAAGCACCGGCUAACUCCGUGCCAGCAGCCGCGGUAAUACGGAGGGUGCAAGCGUUAAUCGGAAUUACUGGGCGUAAAGCGCACGCAGGCGGUCUGUCAAGUCGGAUGUGAAAUCCCCAGGCUCAACCUGGGAACUGCAUUCGAAACUGGCAGGCUAGAGUCUUGUAGAGGGGGGUAGAAUUCCAGGUGUAGCGGUGAAAUGCGUAGAGAUCUGGAGGAAUACCGGUGGCGAAGGCGGCCCCCUGGACAAAGACUGACGCUCAGGUGCGAAAGCGUGGGGAGCAAACAGGAUUAGAUACCCUUGUAGUC